AUGUGUAAAGAGUUUGAGGAUUUUGAUGAUGUUGUUUAUAGAUCUGAAAAUUUAGCUAUCCUCAAAUAUUGCUAUGAGAAUUAUAAAUACAAUUAUGAAAUUAAUGCACUUAUUAAGAAAGUCUCCGCUGUCCAAGAAGAGACUAAUAUUUUGCAGGAAGCUAUGGAAGAAGAAAUUGAUGAAAUUGUGAGCUCAUUGGAUGAAAAAGAUGAUGAGGAGAGCGAAGAACAAAAGGAGGAAGAGUGGAUUGAUCACCCGUGCCCACCUUCUAAUGAGAGUAACUCUUCAACUCAUACAUUGUUUAAUUCCCCUUCGUGCUUACCGAAGGAUGAUUGCUAUGAUCCCUUGAAUUAUUUUGAAAUAUUCCUUUUUGAUGAUACUUGUGGCCAAGAUGCCAAUAUGAAUUAUGCUUAUGGAGAUGAACUUGCUAUAGUUCCUUAUGUUAUGAAUGAAAUUGUUGUUAUUGCACCCACGCAUAAUAGUCCUAUUAUCUUUUUGAAUUCUCCCGACUACACUAUAUCGGAGAAGCUUGCACUUAUUAAGGAUUAUAUUGAUGGGUUGCCUUUUACCAUUGCACAUGAUGAUUUUGAUGAAUAUAAUAUGCAUGUGCUUGCUGCUCCUACUUGCAAUUAUUAUGAGAGAGGAACUAUAUCUCCACCUCUCUAUGUUUCCCACACGAUAAAAUUGCAAGAAACUGUUUAUACUAUGCAUUGGCCUUUACUAUGUGUGCAUGAAUUGUUCUUUUAUGACAUGCCGAUGCAUAGGAAGAGAGUUAGACUUCGUCAUUACAUGAUUUAUGUUACUUUGUGCUCACUGCUAAAUUACAAAUCAUUGUUAAUUAAAAUUGGCUUUGAUAUACCUUGGGAUCCGGGUGGAUUCAUUACUUGA
Molecule: ribosomal RNA, 888 nt
Filed under: Triticum aestivum (bread wheat)
Lineage: Eukaryota; Viridiplantae; Streptophyta; Magnoliopsida; Poales; Poaceae
Description: partial small subunit ribosomal RNA
Source: RNAcentral